AAUGAACGUUGGCGGCGUGGAUUAGGCAUGCAAGUCGCGCGACAAGGAACCUUCGGGUUCUGGAGGAGCGGCAAACGGGGUAGUAAGGCAUUGGAACGUACCCUCUUGUUGGGAAUAGCCGCGGGAAACUGCGAGUAAUGCCCAAUAAUCCCUACGGGGCAAAGGUCCGCCGCAGGAGGAGCGGCCGAUGUGAUACCAGCUAGUUGGUGAGGUAAUGGCUCACCAAGGCUUAGACGUCUAGGGGGUAUGAGAGCAUGGCCCCCACCACUGGACGUGAGAUACUGCCCACGACACCUACCGGGUGGGCUGCAGU
This 313-nucleotide ribosomal RNA is filed under the name uncultured bacterium. RNAcentral describes it as "bacterial SSU rRNA". It matches the Rfam family "Bacterial small subunit ribosomal RNA", at positions 29 to 355 of the family's 1533-position model. The record is from RNAcentral.